Molecule: long non-coding RNA, 682 nt
Organism: Rosa rugosa (rugosa rose)
Lineage: Eukaryota; Viridiplantae; Streptophyta; Magnoliopsida; Rosales; Rosaceae
Exons: 4
Source: RefSeq, a predicted model, not a curated record
AAUCCCAGGGCCGGCUCUGCCCUAUAGUAGAUUAGCUGGGUCAGAUCUAACACUUACAAGCGAGGUAUCUGAUAGUAUGUUCUUGCUUAUGUGAACCUGGGAAGAAGUUCUCAGAUACUAUGGAGUUUCCUACCUAAUUGAUUUUUUCCUGUGUUUUUCUUUGAAGUUUGCAGGUAUUUGAGCAAUUAUGGUUCCAGGGUAGUGGUAAAAAAUUCUGGUGAGGAAGAAAAAACAAGGAAAAGACAGUGGUUAUGCAAAGGGAUAAUGCCAUUAGCCAGCAAAGGAUUUCUACCCACCCUGAAAAUAUUGGCAGCUUGCAUGGUUUGGUGAGAAAAAUAUGAGCAGCAUUGGGUAUGGAAGGAUGCUAUUCACAUAGAUAUUUCAAAGAUAACUUGGAUGUAGUGCAGCCGUGAGGAAAUUGAUGUAGAUAGGAACUUACUAGGAAUUUUGUAUUUGGUAUCAUUCAAACAGCACUUUGGUCAAUAAUAUAUAAUUUUGGUUGGUAUAUGGCAUUCAUAGAUCAUUGGUUGCCAAUAUUUUUUUUUUUUGGGUUUCAUAUGGAAGUUUUGAGGACGUUUUUUCAUAUAUGUCGACACUUUUUAGAUGUCCUCUAAUACAUACAAGGACAUCUUUUUUAGAUUUAAGGACACUUAUCUAGUGUCAUAGUAAACAUUAGAGGACA